AUUGAACGCUGGCGGCAUGCCUUACACAUGCAAGUCGAACGGUAACGGGCCUUCGGGUGCCGACGAGUGGCGAACGGGUGAGUAAUACAUCGGAACGUGCCCGAUCGUGGGGGAUAACGAGGCGAAAGCUUUGCUAAUACCGCAUACGAUCUACGGAUGAAAGCAGGGGACCGCAAGGCCUUGCGCGGGCGGAGCGGCCGAUGGCGGAUUAGGUAGUUGGUGGGAUAAAAGCGCACCAAGCCGACGAUCUGUAGCUGGUCUGAGAGGAUGAUCAGCCACAAUGGGACUGAGACACGGCCCAGACUCCUACGGGAGGCAGCAGUGGGGAAUUUUGGACAAUGGGCGCAAGCCUGAUCCAGCCAUGCCGCGUGCAGGAUGAAGGCCUUCGGGUUGUAAACUGCUUUUGUACGGAACGAAAAGCCUUCUUUUAAUACAGGAGGGUCAUGACGGUACCGUAAGAAUAAGCACCGGCUAACUACGUG
RNAcentral lists this ribosomal RNA (482 nucleotides) under uncultured bacterium. RNAcentral describes it as "partial 16S ribosomal RNA". It matches the Rfam family "Bacterial small subunit ribosomal RNA", at positions 30 to 507 of the family's 1533-position model. The record is from RNAcentral.